GAUAAAAAAAUACACGUUCGAUUCAUGUUUUUCGGAAUAUGGAUAUUUUCAAUCAGCUGACACCAUGAACUCUGGUGUAAUCCACAUCACUAUGAUGUUCUUGACAUUCUUAUUUCAAAUGACAAAGUUAGUAUCCGAAUUCAUUAUUGAUACACCACGAUAUGAUAUGCAUAUCCAUGAAUACCCAUAACAAAUACACGUUCCACUCAUAUGUUUCAAAAUGAUGAUAUUUCAUUCCAAGUUACACCAUCAAGUUUAAUGUAUUUCACAUCACUGCGAUGUUCUUUACAAACUCAGUUCAAAUGACAAUGUUUAUAAAAAAUUUCAUACUUGAUACACCACGAUGUCAUAUGUUUAUCUUAAAUAUGUUAUGAAUCAAUUGAAACGAAUUUAGGUAUGGAUUCUGAUGAGACAAUUGUCAUCAUUCCAAUAAAAUCGCACAUGUUCAUGCAUGUUUCGAAAAGGUUGUAACAAUUUUCAGCUAUCAGUGAUAGUGAACUAUACUUUUAUAUUAAAUACCACUUCAAUAAAGAAGAAAAAUACUAUGUUUGAAUAUUAUUUAUGAAGAAAUAUAUUCGUGUUUCCAUUAUGGUUAUAAAGCGGUGGUGGAAGGAAGAGGCAUUUCACUGUUCAGUGGCAGAAGACAUUGCGGCAUGUGUGGAACAAACAACUUCGCACAUAAAUAGACGAAGUGAAGUUUACCAAAUUUGAACUAAACUGCUGUCUUAGUAUCGGUUCCUCGGAAUAUCCUUUGCGACGUACGUACUUCAUGGCGGCUUCCUGUUAUUGGUAGGCAUCAGCACCGAACCAAUCACGUUUUCCGGCAGCAAUCCUUUGAAUUUCUUGGUGAUCUGUGUAGAUGAUGAGAAUCUUAUUCAUUGGUUGCAGAUUCCGGAAGAUGAAAGCACUUACCUGUCCUAGAACAAACUCUUCGGCCUCAGUUCGUUAAUGCUGGUUGGUGUGGUUCAGCAUUUCUAAAAAUAAUAAAUACAAUCACCUACAUUUUAA
Armigeres subalbatus is the source of this 1008-nucleotide long non-coding RNA. RefSeq lists it as uncharacterized. The record is from RefSeq and is a predicted model, not a curated record. The transcript is spliced from 2 exons. Lineage: Eukaryota; Metazoa; Arthropoda; Insecta; Diptera; Culicidae.